Otolemur garnettii (small-eared galago) is the source of this 103-nucleotide non-coding RNA. The record is from Rfam. NCBI's taxonomy places the organism in Eukaryota, Metazoa, Chordata, Mammalia, Primates, Galagidae.
UUGCUUUGGCAGCACAUAUGCUAAAGUUGGAACCAUACAGAAAAGAUUAGCAUAACGCCUGUGCAAGGAUGACAUGCAAAUUCGUGAAGAGCUUCAAAAAGAA